Long non-coding RNA from Triticum aestivum (bread wheat), 883 nucleotides. RefSeq lists it as uncharacterized. Lineage: Eukaryota; Viridiplantae; Streptophyta; Magnoliopsida; Poales; Poaceae. The transcript is spliced from 2 exons. The record is from RefSeq and is a predicted model, not a curated record.
CCCGUUUGCUUGGUUGACUCUAAAGCAUGCCUGCGCUAGAUUUGUUCAAGAUUUAUGCAAUUGGGCCUGUCGUUGAUCUAUGAAUAUUAACCUAAUGAAUUUAUUAAACGAUCUAAAUACCACCUAUUCAUAGAUUAACUUGUGCCACCGUUGAUUUUUUACUUAUUGUGUCAUUCUUAUUUUUGAGGCUGGCCUGGCACAUUCUGUUUCCAAAUAUAUUAUAUUAAUAGUUUGGCGUCUCAUUAACUGACGAGAUGGUCAGGACAAAGGUUGUGCUUAGUGUCGUUCAUGGUAACGUUGGUCUGCUUGAUGCAAAAUACAAGCACUACAGGAACUACAUCAGUGACUGCUUGGCCUCUUAUUUUGAUUAGCCUAUCAUUAAAGUUGGAAACACCAGAAUUGACGCUUGCGCAUGAGUGCGUACAGGUUGUCCUUGGGAUUUUCUUCUUUGCAAACUCGAUUGAUUGUUGAUACGGUUUCCUAGGCUAUUGUUCUUUGUACAACACAUGAAGCAAUCUGCUCAUGUGUGUGACUUAGUCUGAUUAUUAGGCUUUAAAAUUUCUGCUGGUUUAUCUUAUAAUUCAUGGUAGCAUUUGAUUUUUUUAUCAAUUACCAUGUCUCAGUUGUAGAACAGGACAGUAAGAGUCUAAUAAAACUCUUGCACAACAAAGAUUGCCAUCCUUUAGUUACCCAGACCUUUGUUUUCGUGGUAUAAAAACCCACUGCUGUCAAACUUUUUCUUUUUGAAACGGACUGCUAUCAACUUUAGUACUCUCGAAAAUCAUAUAACUAUUUUGAAAUUUCCUAUGACAUAGGCCAAGACAAGCAUCGUAAGGGUCCAGUUAGAAUGAUGACUGAUAUCCUGUUAGAGCAUCUUGGGCUU